GUCUACAGCCAUCCCAUCCUGAAUGCGCCCACUCUCAUAUGAUCUCCGAAGGUAACCAGGGUCAGGCCUGGCUAGUCCUUGGAGGAGGGAACUGAGUCA
Molecule: ribosomal RNA, 99 nt
Filed under: Echinops telfairi (small Madagascar hedgehog)
Lineage: Eukaryota; Metazoa; Chordata; Mammalia; Afrosoricida; Tenrecidae
Source: RNAcentral